CCGGUUGAUCCCGCCGGAGGUCACUGCUAUCGGGGUUCGAUUAAGCCAUGCGAGUCGAGAGGGUUCAGACCCUCGGCGGACUGCUCAGUAACACGUGGAUAACCUGACCUGUGGUGGAGGAUAACCCCGGGAAACUGGGGAUAAUACUCCAUAAGUUACGAAAUCUGGAAUGAUUUGUAGCUCAAAGCUCCGGCGCCACAGGAUGGAUCUGCGGCCGAUUAGGUAGUAGUUGGGGUAGAGGCCCAACUAGCCUGUAAUCGGUACGGGUUGUGGGAGCAAGAGCCCGGAGAUGGAAUCUGAGACACGAUUCCAGGCCCUACGGGGCGCAGCAGGCGCGAAAACUUUACAAUGCAGGAAACUGUGAUAAGGGAACCCCGAGUGCCCGUACACGCGGGCUGUCUGGGUGUUUAAAAUGCACCCAAAGAAAGGGCCGGGCAAGACCGGUGCCAGCCGCCGCGGUAAUACCGGCGGCUCGAGUGGUGACCACUUUUAUUGGGCUUAAAGCGUUCGUAGCUGGAUUGUUAAGUCUCUUGGGAAAUCCGCCGGCUCAACCGGCGGGCGUCUAAGAGAUACUGGCAAUCUUGGGACCGGGAGAGGUAAGAGGUACUCCGGGGGUAGGAGUGAAAUCCUGUAAUCCCCGGGGGACCACCGGUGGCGAAGGCGUCUUACCAGAACGGCUCCGACAGUGAGGAACGAAAGCUGGGGGAGCGAACCGGAUUAGAUACCCGGGUAGUCCCAGCCGUAAACGAUGCGCGUUAGGUGUACCGGCGACCACGAGUUGCCGGAGUGCCGAAGGGAAACCGUGAAACGUGCCGCCUGGGAAGUACGGUCGCAAGGCUGAAACUUAAAGGAAUUGGCGGGGGAGCACUACAACGGGUGGAGCCUGCGGUUUAAUUGGAUUCAACGCCGGGAAUCUC
This 917-nucleotide ribosomal RNA is filed under the name uncultured archaeon. RNAcentral's name for it is "bacterial SSU rRNA". It matches the Rfam family "Archaeal small subunit ribosomal RNA", at positions 4 to 928 of the family's 1478-position model. The record is from RNAcentral.